GAUUGGGUCUUGCGCGGCGGAGACCUUCGAACCCCGCCAGGUCCGGAAGGAAGCAACGGUAAGGAGAUCACUCCGGGUGCCGCAGGGUUGCCUGGUCCUC
Molecule: signal recognition particle RNA, 100 nt
Filed under: Anaerolineae bacterium
Lineage: Bacteria; Bacillati; Chloroflexota; Anaerolineae
Description: signal recognition particle sRNA small type
Rfam family: Bacterial small signal recognition particle RNA
About the family: The signal recognition particle (SRP) is a universally conserved ribonucleoprotein involved in the co-translational targeting of proteins to membranes. Archaeal SRP consists of a 7S RNA and homologues of the eukaryotic SRP19 and SRP54 proteins. In most bacteria, the SRP consists of a 4.5S RNA and the Ffh protein (a homologue of the eukaryotic SRP54 protein).
Source: RNAcentral